RNAcentral lists this ribosomal RNA (465 nucleotides) under Vreelandella stevensii. RNAcentral's name for it is "partial 16S ribosomal RNA". It matches the Rfam family "Bacterial small subunit ribosomal RNA", at positions 338 to 795 of the family's 1533-position model. Lineage: Bacteria; Pseudomonadati; Pseudomonadota; Gammaproteobacteria; Oceanospirillales; Halomonadaceae. The record is from RNAcentral.
CCUACGGGAGGCUGCAGUGGGGAAUAUUGGACAAUGGGGGGAACCCUGAUCCAGCCAUGCCGCGUGUGUGAAGAAGGCCCUCGGGUUGUAAAGCACUUUCAGUGAGGAAGAACGCCUGGUGGUUAAUACCCAUCAGGAAAGACAUCACUCACAGAAGAAGCACCGGCUAACUCCGUGCCAGCAGCCGCGGUAAUACGGAGGGUGCGAGCGUUAAUCGGAAUUACUGGGCGUAAAGCGCGCGUAGGUGGCUUGAUAAGCCGGUUGUGAAAGCCCCGGGCUCAACCUGGGAACGGCAUCCGGAGCUGUCAAGCUAGAGUGCAGGAGAGGAAGGUAGAAUUCCCGGUGUAGCGGUGAAAUGCGUAGAGAUCGGGAGGAAUACCAGUGGCGAAGGCGGCCUUCUGGACUGACACUGACACUGAGGUGCGAAAGCGUGGGUAGCAAACAGGAUUAGCUACCAUAGUAGUC